RNAcentral lists this ribosomal RNA (480 nucleotides) under uncultured bacterium. Its description in RNAcentral is "partial 16S ribosomal RNA". It matches the Rfam family "Bacterial small subunit ribosomal RNA", at positions 28 to 507 of the family's 1533-position model. The record is from RNAcentral.
GACGAACGCUGGCGGCGUGCUUAACACAUGCAAGUCGAACGAUGAAGAAAAGAAUUGAAGCUUCGGCAGAAAUUCAUUUCGGAUUAGUGGCAGACGGGUGAGUAACGCGUGAGCAACCUACCUCUUACAAAGGGAUAGCCUCGGGAAACCGGGAUUAAUACCAUAUAACAUUGCGACGAAGCAUUUCGAUGCAAUCAAAGCUACGGCGGUAAGAGAUGGGCUCGCGUCCCAUUAACCAGAUGGUGAGGUAACGGCUCACCAUAGUAACGAUGGGUAACCGGCCUGAGAGGGUGAACGGUCACACUGGAACUGAGACACGGUCCAGACUCCUACGGGAGGCAGCAGUGGGGAAUAUUGCACAAUGGAGGGAACUCCGAUGCAGCGACGCCGCGUGAGUGAUGAAGGAAUUCGUUUCGUAAAACUCUGUUCUAUGGGAAGAAAAGGACUGUACCAUAGGAGAAAGCUCCGGCUAAAUACGUG